GUUUAUGGCCAUGCCACCCUGAACAAGUCUGAUCCCAUCUGAUCUCAGAAGCUAAGCAGUGUCAGGCCUGGUUAGUACUUGGAUGGGAGACCACCUAGGAAGACCAGGUGCUGUAGGCA
This 119-nucleotide ribosomal RNA is filed under the name Pteropus alecto (black flying fox). The record is from RNAcentral. Lineage: Eukaryota; Metazoa; Chordata; Mammalia; Chiroptera; Pteropodidae. RNAcentral also lists the same sequence under 1 other name.